UACAGAGGUCUCAAGCGUUGUUCGGAUUCAUUGGGCGUAAAGGGUGCGUAGGCGGCGCGGUAAGUCGGGUGUGAAAUCUCGGAGCUUAACUCCGAAACUGCAUUCGAUACUGCCGUGCUUGAGGACUGGAGAGGAGACUGGAAUUCAUGGUGUAGCAGUGAAAUGCGUAGAGAUCAUGAGGAAGACCAGUGGCGAAGGCGGGUCUCUGGGCCGAUACUGACGCUGAGGAGCGAAAGCGUGGGGAGCGAACAGG
This 253-nucleotide ribosomal RNA is filed under the name uncultured bacterium. RNAcentral's name for it is "partial 16S ribosomal RNA". It matches the Rfam family "Bacterial small subunit ribosomal RNA", at positions 524 to 776 of the family's 1533-position model. The record is from RNAcentral.